This 200-nucleotide long non-coding RNA is filed under the name Trifolium pratense (red clover). RNAcentral's name for it is "long non-coding RNA (TPRA_LNC013830)". The record is from RNAcentral. Lineage: Eukaryota; Viridiplantae; Streptophyta; Magnoliopsida; Fabales; Fabaceae.
UAGGUCUGUAGAACCUAAGGCUGAAUUAGAGGUUGUCAAUGAUGUUGUGAGUGCUGAAAUAACUGCUGGUAAGGUUAAGGUCUGGCCCACAAAGAAGCUGAUACCCACUAGUAAAUUGAAUGUCAAAUAUGCCAUCCUCAAUAGGAUAGGGUCAACAAAUUGGGUGCCAACUAAGCAUGCAACCAAUGUUGCUACAAACC